Molecule: ribosomal RNA, 262 nt
Filed under: uncultured soil bacterium
Lineage: Bacteria
Description: partial 16S ribosomal RNA
Rfam family: Bacterial small subunit ribosomal RNA
Source: RNAcentral
AGAGUGAACGCUGGCGGUAGGCCUAACACAUGCAAGUCGAACGGCAGCACAGUAGGAGCUUGCUCUUACGGGUGGCGAGUGGCGGACGGGUGAGGAAUACAUCGGAAUCUACCUUUUGGUGGGGGAUAACGUAGGGAAACUUACGCUAAUACCGCAUACGCCCUUCGGGGGAAAGCCGGGGACCAGCAAUGGCCUGGCGCUGAUAGAUGAGCCGAUGUCGGAUUAGCUAGUUGGUGAGGUAAUGGCUCACCAAGGCGACGAU